This 491-nucleotide ribosomal RNA is filed under the name uncultured bacterium. RNAcentral's name for it is "partial 16S ribosomal RNA". It matches the Rfam family "Bacterial small subunit ribosomal RNA", at positions 29 to 506 of the family's 1533-position model. The record is from RNAcentral.
AGUGAACGCUGGCGGUAGGCCUAACACAUGCAAGUCGAACGGCAGCACAGUAAGAGCUUGCUCUUACGGGUGGCGAGUGGCGGACGGGUGAGGAAUACAUCGGAAUCUACUUUUUCGUGGGGGAUAACGUAGGGAAACUUACGCUAAUACCGCAUACGACCUACGGGUGAAAGCAGGGGAUCUUCGGACCUUGCGCGAUUGAAUGAGCCGAUGUCGGAUUAGCUAGUUGGCGGGGUAAAGGCCCACCAAGGCGACGAUCCGUAGCUGGUCUGAGAGGAUGAUCAGCCACACUGGAACUGAGACACGGUCCAGACUCCUACGGGAGGCAGCAGUGGGGAAUAUUGGACAAUGGGCGCAAGCCUGGUCCAGCCAUACCGCGUGGGUGAAGAAGGCCUUCGGGUUGUAAAGCCCUUUUGUUGGGAAAGAAAAGCAGCAGGUUAAGACCCCGCUGUUCUGACGGUACCCAAAGAAUAAGCACCGGCUAACUUCGU